Molecule: ribosomal RNA, 440 nt
Filed under: uncultured bacterium
Lineage: Bacteria
Description: partial 16S ribosomal RNA
Rfam family: Bacterial small subunit ribosomal RNA
Source: RNAcentral
CCUACGGGAGGCUGCAGUGAGGCAUAUUGCUCAAUGGGGGAAACCCUGAAGCAGCAACGCCGCGUGGAGGAUGAAGGUUUUCGGAUUGUAAACUCCUUUUGUUAGAGAAGAUAAUGACGGUAUCUAACGAAUAAGCACCGGCUAACUCCGUGCCAGCAGCCGCGGUAAUACGGAGGGUGCAAGCGUUACUCGGAAUCACUGGGCGGAAAGAGCGCGUAGGCGGGAUAGCAAGUCAGAUGUGAAAUCCUAUGGCUUAACCAUAGAACUGCAUUUGAAACUGUUAUUCUAGAGUAUGGGAGAGGUAGGUGGAAUUCUUGGUGUAGGGGUAAAAUCCGUAGAGAUCAAGAGGAAUACUCAUUGCGAAGGCGACCUGCUAGAACAUAACUGACGCUGAUGCGCGAAAGCGUGGGGAGCAAACAGGAUUAGAUACCCGAGUAGUC